This 481-nucleotide ribosomal RNA is filed under the name uncultured bacterium. RNAcentral's name for it is "partial 16S ribosomal RNA". It matches the Rfam family "Bacterial small subunit ribosomal RNA", at positions 30 to 507 of the family's 1533-position model. The record is from RNAcentral.
UUGCACGCUGGCGGCAUGCUUUACACAUGCAGGUCGAACGGUAACAGGCCGCAAGGUGCUGACGAGUGGCGAACGGGUGAGUAAUGCAUCGGAACGUGCCCAGUCGUGGGGGAUAACUACUCGAAAGAGUAGCUAAUACCGCAUACGAUCUAUGGAUGAAAGCGGGGGACCGUAAGGCCUCGCGCGAUUGGAGCGGCCGAUGUCAGAUUAGGUAGUUGGUGGGGUAAAGGCUCACCAAGCCAACGAUCUGUAGCUGGUCUGAGAGGACGACCAGCCACACUGGGACUGAGACACGGCCCAGACUCCUACGGGAGGCAGCAGUGGGGAAUUUUGGACAAUGGGCGCAAGCCUGAUCCAGCAAUGCCGCGUGCAGGAAGAAGGCCUUCGGGUUGUAAACUGCUUUUGUACGGAACGAAACGGCUCUGGUUAAUACCCGGGGCUAAUGACGGUACCGUAAGAAUAAGCACCGGCUAACUACGUG